RNAcentral lists this ribosomal RNA (254 nucleotides) under uncultured bacterium. RNAcentral's name for it is "partial 16S ribosomal RNA". It matches the Rfam family "Bacterial small subunit ribosomal RNA", at positions 524 to 776 of the family's 1533-position model. The record is from RNAcentral.
UACGGGGGGAGCAAGCGUUGUUCGGAUUUACUGGGCGUAAAGGGCGCGUAGGCGGUUAUGACAAGUCAGUUGUGAAAUCUCCGGGCUUAACUCGGAACGGUCAACUGAUACUGUCAAACUAGAGUGCAGAAGGGGCAACUGGAAUUCUCGGUGUAGCGGUGAAAUGCGUAGAUAUCGAGAGGAACACCUGCGGCGAAGGCGGGUUGCUGGGCUGACACUGACGCUGAGGCGCGAAAGCCAGGGGAGCGAACGGG